This 792-nucleotide ribosomal RNA is filed under the name uncultured Actinomycetes bacterium. RNAcentral describes it as "bacterial SSU rRNA". It matches the Rfam family "Bacterial small subunit ribosomal RNA", at positions 53 to 825 of the family's 1533-position model. The record is from RNAcentral. Lineage: Bacteria; Bacillati; Actinomycetota; Actinomycetes.
ACUGCAGUCGAACGCGAAAGCCCCUUCGGGGGCAAGUAGAGUGGCGCACGGGUGAGUAACACGUAGGUAAUCUACCUUUGGAUGGGGAAUAACAACCGGAAACGGUUGCUAAUACCGCAUAAUGCAGCGGCACCUAAUGGUGACAGUUGUUAAAGCGGGGGAUCGAAAGACCUCGCGUCUGAAGAGGAGCCUGCGGCGGAUUAGCUAGUUGGUAAGGUAACGGCUUACCAAGGCGAUGAUCCGUAGCCGGCCUGAGAGGGCGGUCGGCCACACUGACACUGACAUACGGGUCAGACUCCUACGGGAGGCAGCAGUCGGGAAUUUUGGGCAAUGGGCGAAAGCCUGACCCAGCAACGCCGCGUGAAGGAUGAAAUCCCUCGGGAUGUAAACUUCGCAAGAACGGGAAGAAUAAGUAAGAGUUAAUAUCUCUUACGAUGACGGUACUGUUUGUAAGCUCCGGCUAACUCCGUGCCAGCAGCCGCGGUAAUACGGGGGGAGCAAGCGUUGUUCGGAUUUACUGGGCGUAAAGGGCGCGUAGGCGGCCACCGCAAGUCGACUGUGAAAUCUCCGGGCUUAACCCGGAACGGUCAGCCGAUACUGCGGGGCUAGAGUGCAGAAGGGGCAACUGGAAUUCUCGGUGUAGCGGUGAAAUGCGUAGAUUUCGAGAGGAACACCUGCGGCGAAGGCGGGUUGCUGGGGCUGACACUGACGCUGAGGCGCGAAAGCUAGGGGAGCGAACGGGAUUAGAUACCCCCGGUAGUCCUAGCCUUAAACGAUGAAGGCUUGGGUGUC